Molecule: long non-coding RNA, 1046 nt
Filed under: Lathyrus oleraceus (garden pea)
Lineage: Eukaryota; Viridiplantae; Streptophyta; Magnoliopsida; Fabales; Fabaceae
Description: Pisum sativum (pea) long non-coding RNA (PSAT_LNC035464)
Source: RNAcentral
AUUAUUGAAUGACGUUUUGCUUUAUUGCAAGUUCACGUUUCAUUUGGCCUCCUAAUAAUUACACCCUCACUUACCAUUGGUUAAAGAGUUCUGAAAUUAAUAUUACAUUUUUGAAACGUGUUUGUAAGUUGCUUAAGUGAUCCAAAGAGUUGUUUAUGUGCACCGAAUGCAAUUCAAGUUCUUUCUUUUCACAAAUUUAGAGCCAUACAUAUGAAUGGGAAAUUAUACAUGUUUCUGUUCCAAAAUCAUGAUUAGGAAUAGGUAUGAUAUUUAAUUACAAAUUGCAAAACCAAGUUUUGACCAAAAGAAAAUGUCGUGUAACUUGAAUCCAUCCAACUAGAGAGAGAGUGUCGAACCAGAACCAUAGCUUACAUUGAAUUAAAUUCAUGCUAAGUGUGCAAGUCACUUUAUCGUCAUCCUCCUCGCGCUCGCACCAAGACGACUUGUGCAUAACCUGUAAGAAAAACAAAGGACAUAUUCAGUGAAAAUCCUGCAUUUUCUUGAUAAGCAGUAUACAUAGCCAUUUGGACUAUCAACCAAAGUCAAAAGAAAAAGAGUAAAUACCAGCUUAUAUCAAAACCCGUUUGAAACAAUAAAGAGAUAUUAAAAAGUUGAAAAUUGUUUGUUAAUGCUAAUGGGGACCACCCAAGCUUGACAGAUACGAAGACCUCACUAUAGACAAAAAUAAACCAAUUCAAACCUAACAGAUUGGCAAGAUACCAAAUCGUAGGGAGAUGAAAAUCUAACGGAAUGAUCCUAUAAUCCCUGCCAGCUCCCAAUCGAAAGAACCACAUGCACCCAUCUAUAAGAGAGGGAGUUCAAUCAUUGAAGAGGGGGGACCGUUAUUCUGCAAAAAUUUCCAAGAACACCUUUCAGAAAAGCUCACGAUUUUUUUAAAUCUACAUUAGAGUUUCACGCUGAAAUUCUAACGUCGAUGAGCUCAGACCAACACAGAAACUAAUAGCAAACAGAGAAGAGCAGAGAAGAAGAAGAAGGAGAAAGUUCGGAGAAAGGACUUAUCUGAACCGCGUCGAAGGAUAUCUCAC